GGACAACAACAUCAACUGGUGCCACCAAACCAACACGAGCAGGUGCUCUAACCUUGUACUUUGCAACUUCCUCACUCACUUCCUUCAAGUCGCCCUUGGUGAAGAUCAAUCCCACGUUACCAACAAGGAGGGGAAUGACAUUGAGGAUGGUACAACAUAUACCACAAUUAAGGUUGCAUGAUAAUAGAGAUGAAACUUCAAAUCAGUUAAACUAACAAUAACCUAUCGUGCUAAAAAUAUCCUCAUCAAUUAGUACAUGAAUGCAAGCGGAAUAAUUAGGUAUAGGGUAAAAUAUUGCUUGUUAUUGAUUAAAAAUAGACUUUGAACACAGUUACAUAGCCCAUAUUUGAACACCCUUACUUAAUUUCCUGGAUUCGCCACGGACUAUCAGAUUAGGAUGAAUUGGAUGGAUUCGCUUGACAAUGAUCUUCCAAUAUGAAAAGAUGACCAAUUUAUAUAAACUCCCAAUAUGAAAUUGAAAGCAAGAUGUAAUUAAUUCAAUCCAUUUUCAUAUAAUGGAAAUGACAUAUAAACUCCCAAGCUCAGGAUUACACAUAAAGCAAAUGACAUAAAGCAAUGUUUCAUCAUUUAAAUGUCAAUGAAGUGUGAUGAACAUGAAUUCCAUGAGACAUACAACCACAUAGAUGAUUACAAAAAGAAGCAAUAUAGUCAAUUUACCUUGUACUUGGCAACUUCCUCACUCACUUCCUUCAAGUCACCCUUGGUGAAGAUCAAUCCCACGUUACCCUAUCAGAAAAUUAAAAAUAAGCUGAGUUCAUUUAAUAAGCUAUUUGCAUACUUCCAAUACACUGAAGGACGAAUCAUGAUUCUAAUAUAGCAACUGAACAAGGCUCUUUCCAUUAUCUUUACAUGAUUAUUCAAGGAAUUUAACUAACUGGAAUGUCAAAGAACAGUAUCAAAGUAUUAGAAUGCUAACUCUGACGAAAGAAAAACAAAAAUAAUUAAAAGAGAUACGCCAGAAUAAAAAUAAGAAAACAAAAAAAGAUAACUUCCGAGCAUGCUUACACUAAGAUACCAUAAUUUUGGAUUGUUCAACAGAUUUCAAAAUUUAAACAAACCAGACAUAGUAAUAAAAUCAAAACUUACAACAAGGAGGGGAAUGAGAUUGAGGAUGGUAUUGUUGCCGGUUUUUUCAGCGUGGACUCGAAUAGUCCUCUUCAUCAUAGUGUUCUUUCCCAUGAGAACAAUGGAGUCACCUCUCAAACCCUUCCUAAUGUUUUGGAGCUGAGUGGAUCCAACGUUGUCAGCAGCAGCCACGAGCACCUGAGUGUACUCAUCCAAAAGUUGGCACAUCUUUGAGUCAUAAGCGAUCUUCUUCUCGGCCUUAGUUGCUUUAGGUGCCAUUGAUAAAGUUCCAGAUGUGAUUCCACAAACUAACUGUAUGUGAAUUUACAGAAGAACUAACAAAACCCUAAAAAGUGAAAGGAAGAGAUUUGGGGGGUGUUACAACAAAAUGAGGGCCAAGACUGGUUUCAGAGUUCAGCCAAGGCGGACAGCAACGGCGCCGUCACUUUAACCUCUUCGAUUCAGAUUU
Molecule: long non-coding RNA, 1555 nt
Filed under: Nicotiana benthamiana
Lineage: Eukaryota; Viridiplantae; Streptophyta; Magnoliopsida; Solanales; Solanaceae
Description: long non-coding RNA (NBEN_LNC023549)
Source: RNAcentral